AAGGAAUAUUGCUCAAUGGGAGAAAUCCUGAAGCAGCAACGCCGCGUGGAGGAUGAAGGGUCUAUGACUUGUAAACUCCUGUAAAGAAGGAAAAAAUUCCCAUUUGAUGGGAGAUGAUGGUACUUCUGGAGUAAGCCCCGGCUAACUACGUGCCAGCAGCCGCGGUAAUACGUAGGGGGCAAGCGUUGUCCGGAUUUACUGGGUGUAAAGGGUGCUCAGGCGGAUUUGUAAGUCAGAGGUGAAAUCUUACAGCUUAACUGUGAAACUGCCUUUGAUACUGCAAGCCUAGAGUAUGGAAGAGNGUGAUGGAAUAUCUGGUGUAGCAGUGAAAUGCGUAGAUAUCAGAUAGAACACCAAUGGCGAAGGCAGUCACUUGGUCCAUUACUGACGCUAAAGCACGAAAGCGUGGGUAGCAAACA
Molecule: ribosomal RNA, 419 nt
Filed under: uncultured bacterium
Lineage: Bacteria
Description: bacterial SSU rRNA
Rfam family: Bacterial small subunit ribosomal RNA
Source: RNAcentral